AUUUGGUCGUUUUAUGUUUUGUUAAAAUGAUUCUAAUUGUAUUUUUUGGUUUUUUUUCAAUCUAUUUUUUCUAACAAAUUUAAUGAAAGUACCGUUAAAAAAAUUAACGGGGAUGAUGUAAAUUUUCAUACAUGGAAUAUUUUUAAUGAGAUGUAAUUUAUCACUUAGAUAACCUAAUAAGAUAAUUAUACGUGAAAAAUAAAAAAAAUAAAAAAAUAAUACAUUAGAUUAAAAAAACUCUUAAUUUAAAGAAAAUAAAAGUAAUUAUCUAAAAAAAUUAACUCAGUAGAAAAUUUUCUCAGUAAAAAAACAUACGAAAGAUUAAAACCUUUUGAAAGAAAAGAAAAUUUGAAACAUUAAAUUUAUUUAUUAAAUCUGUUAGAAAAAGCAAAACAAAUGUUGAUGGCAAAAAAAAAGCUCAAAAAUACAAUUAGGGCCAUUUUGACAAAACAUGCAAAUGUUAAUG
RNAcentral lists this microRNA precursor (466 nucleotides) under Gossypium raimondii (Peruvian cotton). RNAcentral's name for it is "miR8699 stem-loop (gra-MIR8699)". The record is from miRBase by way of RNAcentral. Lineage: Eukaryota; Viridiplantae; Streptophyta; Magnoliopsida; Malvales; Malvaceae.